Molecule: ribosomal RNA, 491 nt
Filed under: uncultured microorganism
Description: bacterial SSU rRNA
Rfam family: Bacterial small subunit ribosomal RNA
Source: RNAcentral
GAGUUUGAUCGUGGCUCAGGAUGAACGCCGGCGGUGUGCCUAAUACAUGCAAGUCGUACGCACUGGCCCAACUGAUUGAUGGUGCUUGCACCUGAUCGACGAUGGAUCACCAGUGAGUGGCGGACGGGUGAGUAACACGUAGGUAACCUGCCCUGUACAGGGGAUAACAAUCAGAAAUGACUGCUAACACCGCAUAGGACCACAGCACCGCAUGGUGCAGGGGUAAAAACUCCGGUAGUACAGGAUGGACUCGCGUCUGAUUAGCUGGUUGGUGAGGUAACGGCUCACCAAGGCGACGAUCAGUAGCCGGCUUGAGAGAGUGAACGGCCACAUUGGGACUGAGACACGGCCCAAACUCCUACGGGAGGCAGCAGUGGGGAAUAUUGCACAAUGGGGAAACCCUGAUGCAGCAACGCCGCGUGAGUGAAGAAGUAUUUCGGUAUGUAAGGCUCUAUCAGCAGGGAAGAAGGUGACGGUACCUGACUAAGAAG